Poecile atricapillus (Black-capped chickadee) is the source of this 1820-nucleotide long non-coding RNA. RefSeq lists it as uncharacterized. The record is from RefSeq and is a predicted model, not a curated record. Lineage: Eukaryota; Metazoa; Chordata; Aves; Passeriformes; Paridae. The transcript is spliced from 3 exons.
GCUCGCCACGUCCCCAGCCCGUCCCGGGCUCCACCUCUCCGUCUAGAGCUCCCGCUGUGUCCUUGUUUGCCCUCGUCUCCCUCAGCCUAUGGCAGCGUCCCUACCUCCUCGCAGGCGCCCGGGUUGGGCCCGCGCCCGCCGCCCCCCUGCCCGCAGGGCUCUCUCCUCAUCCAUGCUAUCCAAGCAACAACAACAACAAAAAAAGCUCUGAGGAGAAAGAAACCCCUCCUCAGCAGGAUUUUGCCCUGAAAUGGGAAAAGCGCCAGCGACUCCAUUAAGCCUCCUGUGCUGUCCUUAUUGAUUUUAUGUGGACAGCAGUCGGAUGCUGUGGGGUGAACAAUCCUCUGAGGCUGAACAAUCCUCUGACUUGCAUGAGGAGGGACAGCUUGUGCUGCAGUGAAACAUCCCCCAGGCUUUCCAUGGGGGGAUCCACGUUAAUUAGCACGUUCUGGGCCUGUGCUGAUGGAUUUCCACGCCACUUUGGUUGGAUUCUGCUGCUUCCAGCUGUCAGGUUUGGGUUCCUCCCAACGCUUGGAUUCAUGGAAUAUCCCUGAACUUGCUGCAUUUGGUGUCAGCCCCUCCACAAAUCCCAGCAGAAGGUGGGAUGGUGGUGACAUUCACGGUGGGAUUCACUCCCCACCCCAAACUGCAGCCUGUCUGUGAGAGUCUGCUCCUACAUCUUCAUAAACAAACAACAAAAAAAAAAUCCCUGAAACAUGGUCUGCUAUAAACAAGCAAAGCAAACAGCUGGUCCUCAUUUAAAAAAAAAAAAAAGAUGUGACAUCAAUUUCCAAACGAAUCUGCAGAUCUUCUUAAUGCAAAUAUUUUUGGGAAAACAGAAAGCAGCUGUUUAUUCUUCUUUAUACCUAUUAGCAGGGAAAAAAAAAAAAAAAAUCCAGGAUGCUUGUAUUUCUUCCUCUAAGAAAAACAUCCUCUUGGCCUUCACAUCCAUUUGCAGCUCAAAUUGUUUGAAAUUUACUGGGCUGCCUAAUUCUGCUAUUGCUGUGCUGCUCCAGCAAGCAGCUAGGAGCUGUUUCUGCUCAAAACUAAAACUACUCCAAGUAGAGUUAUCACUGAAUACUUUACAUGAAUUUUGUGACAGAAAGAGGGAAUUUUAGAACAUUUUCACAUUUAUCAGUUCCUGCCUCCCAGCCCUGAGGAGUGCACGUGCAUUAGAUGUGUGGAUGACUGGAAAAUGAAUGAAUAAUUUGGCCUGUUUAAUGAACAGGUUUGCUUUUCUUAAUUAGCUCCCAGGGAAUGCAAGGACUGGAGGAGGAUCUGGGGACAGCAAAAUAGGAGCCAUUUGAGAUUGUUGCAUUUCACAAAGCAGUUUGAAGGAGGUUAGGCUGAGGAGUAGUGGCAAAGAACAGAAUUUGGAGUCUCUUGAGCCUUCUCAGGUCAUGUGGCCGCUCUCCCAGAUGUGGAAGGAUAAUUUCCCACCUUUGGGUUUGUUUGGUACUGGUUAUUGAUGGAGUUUUACGUGGUUUUGUGUUUCUGUGAAGUAAUACAGCUCCUGUUUUUCCCUGAGAUCAUUCUACUGUUUUCUCUCCUCCCUUCCCAGCUUGGUUUUGUUCCUGCUCUGCAAACACCAGUGAGAGCUGUUCUGUCUGCACGGGCUCCAUUGUGGUGCAGAUUCAUGUGCUGCACUCCUGUUUCUGGCUGUUGUAACCUGACCCAUGUCCAAGCUGUUCACUUCCCUGGAAAUUGGGGUUGUCCUGUGUACACUGAAAGCUUGGCUGGUUUGCCUGGUUAUGUUAAGGAGCAGUCAGAGCUGGGAAUGUUUGUCCAGCCACAAACACCUGGGAUAAUGUGUGGGUGAA